RNAcentral lists this ribosomal RNA (120 nucleotides) under Methanothermobacter sp. Its description in RNAcentral is "partial 16S ribosomal RNA". It matches the Rfam family "Archaeal small subunit ribosomal RNA", at positions 1 to 118 of the family's 1478-position model. The record is from RNAcentral. Lineage: Archaea; Methanobacteriati; Methanobacteriota; Methanobacteria; Methanobacteriales; Methanobacteriaceae.
CAACUCCGUUUGAUCCUGGCGGAGGCUACUGCUAUUGGGGUCCGAUUAAGCCAUGCGAGUCGAACGUCCCUUCGGGGACGUGGCGAACGGCUCAGUAACACGUGGACAACCUACCCUUAG